GACGAACGCUGGCGGCGUGCUUAACACAUGCAAGUCGAACGCUGAAGCUUGGUGCUUGCUCUGGGUGGAUGAGUGGCGAACGGGUGAGUAAUACGUGAGUAACCUGCCCUUGACUCUGGGAUAAGCCUGGGAAACUGGGUCUAAUACUGGAUAUGACAUGCCACUGCAUGGUGGUGUGUGGAAAGGGUUUUACUGGUUUUGGAUGGGCUCACGGCCUAUCAGCUUGUUGGUGGGGUAAUGGCCUACCAAGGCGACGACGGGUAGCCGGCCUGAGAGGGUGACCGGCCACACUGGGACUGAGACACGGCCCAGACUCCUACGGGAGGCAGCAGUGGGGAAUAUUGCACAAUGGGCGGAAGCCUGAUGCAGCGACGCCGCGUGGGGGAUGACGGCCUUCGGGUUGUAAACCUCUUUCAGCACGGAGAAGCGAGAGUGACGGUACGUGCAGAAGAAGCGCCGGCUAACUACGUG
This 471-nucleotide ribosomal RNA is filed under the name uncultured bacterium. RNAcentral's name for it is "partial 16S ribosomal RNA". It matches the Rfam family "Bacterial small subunit ribosomal RNA", at positions 28 to 507 of the family's 1533-position model. The record is from RNAcentral.